Molecule: ribosomal RNA, 254 nt
Filed under: uncultured bacterium
Lineage: Bacteria
Description: partial 16S ribosomal RNA
Rfam family: Bacterial small subunit ribosomal RNA
Source: RNAcentral
UACGUAGGGGGCGAGCGUUGUCCGGAUUUAUUGGGCGUAAAGAGCUCGUAGGCGGUUCCGUAAGUCGUGAAGUCAAAUCUCUGGGCUCAACCCAGAAUCGCUUCCGAUACUGCGGUGACUGGAGUCCGGUAGGGGAGUGUGGAAUUCCUGGUGUAGCGGUGAAAUGCGCAGAUAUCAGGAGGAACACCAACAGCGAAGGCAGCACUCUGGGCCGGUACUGACGCUGAGGAGCGAAAGCAUGGGGAGCGAACAGG